Molecule: ribosomal RNA, 496 nt
Filed under: uncultured bacterium
Lineage: Bacteria
Description: partial 16S ribosomal RNA
Rfam family: Bacterial small subunit ribosomal RNA
Source: RNAcentral
AUGAACGCUGGCGGCGUGCCUAAUACAUGCAAGUCGAGCGAACGGACGAGAAGCUUGCUUCUCUGAUGUUAGCGGCGGACGGGUGAGUAACCCGUGGAUAACCUACCUAUAAGACUGGGAUAACUUCGGGAAACCGUAGCUAAUACCGGAUAAUAUUUUGAACCGCAUGGUUCAAAAGUGAAAGACGGUCUUGCUGUCACUUAUAGAUGGAUCCGCGCUGCAUUAGCUAGUUGGUAAGGUAACGGCUUACCAAGGCAACGAUGCAUAGCCGACCUGAGAGGGUGAUCGGCCACACUGGAGCUGAAGCACGGUCCAGACUCCUGCGAGAGGCAGCAGUAGGGAAUCUUCCGCAAUGGGCGAAAGCCUGACGGAGCAACGCCGCGUGAGUGAUGAAGGUCUUCGGAUCGUAAAACUCUGUUAUUAGGGAAGAACAUAUGUGUAAGUAACUGUGCACAUCUUGACGGUACCUAAUCAGAAAGCCACGGCUAACUACGUG